This 236-nucleotide unclassified non-coding RNA is filed under the name plant metagenome. RNAcentral's name for it is "partial contains small subunit ribosomal RNA, internal transcribed spacer 1, and 5.8S ribosomal RNA". The record is from RNAcentral.
UUUCCGUAGGUGAACCUGCGGAAGGAUCAUUACUGAGUGCGGGCCCCUCGCGGUCCAACCUCCCACCCGUGUUUAACGAACCUUGUUGCUUCGGCGGGCCCCCCUCACGCCCCCCGGGGGGCAUCUGCCCCCGGGCCCGCGCCCCCCGCAGCCACCUAUGAACGCUGUCUGAACUAUGCAGUCGGAGACAAUUAUUAAAUUAAUUAAAACUUUCAACAACGGAUCUCUUGGUUCCG